This 497-nucleotide ribosomal RNA is filed under the name uncultured bacterium. RNAcentral describes it as "partial 16S ribosomal RNA". It matches the Rfam family "Bacterial small subunit ribosomal RNA", at positions 28 to 507 of the family's 1533-position model. The record is from RNAcentral.
GAUGAACGCUGGCGGCGUGCCUAAUACAUGCAAGUCGAGCGAACAGACGCGGCGCUUGCUCCUCUGACGUUAGCGGCGGACGGGUGAGUAACACGUGGAUAACCUACCUAUAAGACUGGGAUAACUUCGGGAAACCGGAGCUAAUACCGGAUAAUAUAUUGAACCGCAUGGUUCAAUAGUGAAAGACGGUUUUGCUGUCACUUAUAGAUGGAUCCGCGCCGCAUUAGCUAGUUGGUAAGGUAACGGCUUACCAAGGCGACGAUGCGUAGCCGACCUGAGAGAGUGAUCGGCCACACUGGAACUGAGACACGGUCCAGACUCCUACGGGAGGCAGCAGUAGGGAAUCUUCCGCAAUGGGCGAAAGCCUGACGGAGCAACGCCGCGUGAGUGAUGAAGGUCUUCGGAUCGUAAAACUCUGUUAUUAGGGAAGAACAAAUGUGUAAGUAACUAUGCACGUCUUGACGGUACCUAAUCAGAAAGCCACGGCUAACUACGUG